UACGUAGAAGGCAAGCGUUGUCCGGAAUUAUUGAGCGUAAAGCGCGCGCAAACGGUGAUUUAAGUUUAGUGUUUAAUCCCGGAACUCAACCCCGAGUCGCACUGAAAACUGGGUCACUUGAGUGCGGGAGAGGAAAGUGGAAUUCCACGUGUAGCAGUGAAAUGCGUAGAGAUGUGGAGGAACACCAAUGGCGAAGGCGACUUUCUGAACCGUAACUGACGCUGAGGCGCGAAAGCAUGGGGAGCAAACA
Molecule: ribosomal RNA, 250 nt
Filed under: uncultured bacterium
Lineage: Bacteria
Description: partial 16S ribosomal RNA
Rfam family: Bacterial small subunit ribosomal RNA
Source: RNAcentral